This 506-nucleotide ribosomal RNA is filed under the name uncultured bacterium. RNAcentral's name for it is "partial 16S ribosomal RNA". It matches the Rfam family "Bacterial small subunit ribosomal RNA", at positions 29 to 523 of the family's 1533-position model. The record is from RNAcentral.
AUUGAACGCUGGCGGCAGGCCUAACACAUGCAAGUCGAACGGCAGCACAGAAGAGCUUGCUCUUUGGGUGGCGAGUGGCGGACGGGUGAGUAAUGUCUGGGAAACUGCCCGAUGGAGGGGGAUAACUACUGGAAACGGUAGCUAAUACCGCAUAACGUCGCAAGACCAAAGUGGGGGACCUUCGGGCCUCACACCAUCGGAUGUGCCCAGAUGGGAUUAGCUAGUAGGUGGGGUAAUGGCUCACCUAGGCGACGAUCCCUAGCUGGUCUGAGAGGAUGACCAGGCACACUGGAACUGAGACACGGUCCAGACUCCUACGGGAGGCAGCAGUGGGGAAUAUUGCACAAUGGGCGCAAGCCUGAUGCAGCCAUGCCGCGUGUAUGAAGAAGGCCUUCGGGUUGUAAAGUACUUUCAGCGGGGAGGAAGGCGGUGAGGUUAAUAACCUCGCCGAUUGACGUUACACGCAGAAGAAGCACCGGCUAACUCCGUGCCAGCCGCCGCGGUAA